Molecule: long non-coding RNA, 954 nt
Filed under: Equus caballus (horse)
Lineage: Eukaryota; Metazoa; Chordata; Mammalia; Perissodactyla; Equidae
Description: lncRNA (ENSECAG00000041523.2)
Source: RNAcentral
GGAGAUCUGUCUGCUCGGGUUGGAUCCAAGCACACAAUUCAGUGUGCAGUCUCUCAGGAAGAGGGCUGUGAGAGUGGGCUAGGCGGAGGGUCAAGGCUCCAGCCAAGUGGACUGGGAUUCAGAAGAAUGGGACUUCAUCACCAUGAAGGGCGACGUGAGCGGGCCCUGGAGCCUUUUGUUAACUCCGCGCCUGCAUCUCCCUCUGUAAAAUGAGACCCUGUGCCCACACAGGACGAUGGAGAGGACCGGUUGAGACUGCCCAGGCAGAGCACUUCACAGACUACACCGUCAGUAAAUGCUGGAAAAAGAAAGCCCUAUGACCCCUGCUCUUCAGGAGGAAACAGAACAACCGGCCUUGUCAAAUUUGCUCUUAUAGCAUCGAAGAAGGCAGGAGAAGCGAGUGGCAGUGGUAUGAUCUGCAGGGGGCACCGGCUCUGCUCUGGAGUGCUGGGUCUGGUCAGCGGGAAUGCUGGCCUCUGGCUGAAGGCUUCAGCCUAUAAUAUUGCACUUCACCACCUGUCGCCCAGGCUUAUUAGUCCACGGCAGCAAAUGGACAUGCCUAAUGACAGACGCAGCCCUGUGUGCAGACCGUGAGGGCCUGAGGCUGGUUCCAAAAACAAUGUCCACCCAGAGGAUGGAGACAGGCUGGCCAAUCCAUUCUCAGGCUGGAAAGGAGGCCUGCGGCUCUGGACAGAUGGCUCUGACCUCUUUUGUCCUGCUCAGCCCGGGAGGAAUUGUCCUUCUGUGCAUGGAGCUCAUUCUCUUGCCCUUCUUCAACAAACCAGUGAAGAAAUCCUCCUGGUUUUGAAUAUAUAGUGGAAAGGGGGGAGGGCAAUUUGUAAGCCUCCUUAGGAGGGUGGGUCCUGCUCAAUGACAGUCCCUUCUGGAUACGCCACAGUGGCUGGGAGCUGGAUUGGAGAAGAGGAUCUGGGCACUAGAGAAAGCAAAGAGGGG